Molecule: ribosomal RNA, 1745 nt
Filed under: human gut metagenome
Description: bacterial LSU rRNA
Rfam family: Bacterial large subunit ribosomal RNA
Source: RNAcentral
UGAUGGAGGUAGAGCACUGAAUUUCCUAGGGGGCGUCAAAGUCUACCGAAGAAUAUCAAACUCCGAAUGCCGUAAUGAUGAUUCACAGGAGUCAGACUGCACGAGAUAAGUUGGGUAGUCAAAAGGGAAAGAGCCCAGACCUGCAGCUAAGGUCCCAAAGUGCGUGUUAAGUGGAAAAGGAUGUGGGAUUUCGAAGACAACUAGGAUGUUGGCUCAGAAGCAGCCAUACAUUCAAAGAGUGCGUAAUAGCUCACUAGUCGAGAGGUCCUGCGCCGAAAAUGUCCGGGGCUGAAACACAACACCGAAGCUUAGGAAUGUAGUGAUACAUUGGUAGAGGAGCAUUGCAUACGCGAGGAAGCAGUACCGUAAGGAGCUGUGGAGUGUAUGGAAGAGAGAAUGCCGGAAUGAGUAGCGAGAUGGAGGUGGGAAUCCUCCAGGCCGAAUAUCCAAGGUUUCCAGGGUAAAGCUGAUCUGCCCUGGGUAAGUCGGGGCCUAAGGCGAGGUCGAAAGACGUAGCCGAUGGACAACAGGUUGAGAUUCCUGUACUGCUGUAUAACAGAACUGUGGGGACACGUGUGGAGAGUGUGAGCCGGGUAUGGAAAGACCGGUGCAAGCGAGGUAGGAGUACAUCAGGCAAAUCCGGUGUGCAAUCCGAAGACGUGAUGCGGAUCGAAAAGAAGUAGAGAAGUGUGUGAGCUGGCUGCCAAGAAAAGCCGCUAUUGUUUACAGGAUACCCGUACCGUAAACCGACACAGGUGGAUGAGGAGAGAAUCCUAAGGCCGACGGAAGAAGCAUUGUUAAGGAACUCGGCAAAAUGACCCCGUAACUUCGGGAGAAGGGGUGCCUGCGAGAGCAGGCCGCAGAGAAUAGGCUCAAGCAACUGUUUAGCAAAAACACAGGUCUAUGCGAAACCGAAAGGUGAGGUAUAUGGGCUGACGCCUGCCCGGUGCUGGAAGGUUAAGAGGAGAGGUUAGCGCAAGCGAAGCUUUGAAUUUAAGCCCCAGUAAACGGCGGCCGUAACUAUAACGGUCCUAAGGUAGCGAAAUUCCUUGUCGGGUAAGUUCCGACCCGCACGAAAGGCGUAAUGAUUUGAGCACUGUCUCGACAAUGCAUCCGGUGAAAUUGAAGUACCAGUGAAGAUGCUGGUUACCUGCGCCAGGACGGAAAGACCCCAUGGAGCUUUACUCCAGCUUGAUACUGGGACCCGGUAUUGCAUGUACAGGAUAGGUGGGAGGCUAGGAAAUGUGGACGCCAGUCUGCAUGGAGCCGGGGCCCACGCCGGACUGCGCGGUGCCCACGCGGGCGACCAGCAUGAUGGAGGACAGGCCCACAAAGAUGCCGGCGAUGGCGCCGAUCAUCAUUUUGGCGGCGGUAACACUGAUGCCGGCCAGGCGCGCGGCGUCCUCGUUGCCGCCCAGGGCGUAGAUGUAGGUGCCCCAAUAGGUCUUGGUGAGGAAGAUGCUCAUGAUGACCACCAGCACCAGCGUGAGGAUGACCGCAAAGGGGAUGCUGCCGAUGUAGCCCUGGCUGAUGAACUUGAACGAAUCGCUGAACCCGCUGAGGGUCUUGGAGCCGGAGACCGUGUAAGAGAUGCCCUGAUAGAGCAUGGAGGUGCUGACGGUUACCAUCAGAAGGGUGAUGCGCAGCUUCACCGCGAGGAUCAUGUUGAGCUCGCAGAGCACCACGCCCAUCAGGAUGCCUGCCAGCAGCAGCACCCAGACCGGCGGGUCAAAGUACUUGACCAG